This 274-nucleotide ribosomal RNA is filed under the name uncultured bacterium. Its description in RNAcentral is "partial 16S ribosomal RNA". It matches the Rfam family "Bacterial small subunit ribosomal RNA", at positions 523 to 796 of the family's 1533-position model. The record is from RNAcentral.
AUACGGAGGGUGCGAGCGUUACUCGGAGUCACUGGGCGUAAAGCGUCCGUAGGCGGUCGGGUAAGUCGGGUGUGAAAGCCCCGGGCUCAACCUGGGAAGUGCACCCAAUACUGCUCGACUCGAGUGCGGGAGAGGAUGGCGGAAUUCCCGGUGUAGCGGUGAAAUGCGUAGAGAUCGGGAGGAACACCAGUGGCGAAGGCGGCCAUCUGGCCCGCAACUGACGCUGAGGGACGAAAGCGUGGGGAGCAAACAGGAUUAGAUACCCGAGUAGUCC